This 465-nucleotide ribosomal RNA is filed under the name uncultured bacterium. Its description in RNAcentral is "partial 16S ribosomal RNA". It matches the Rfam family "Bacterial small subunit ribosomal RNA", at positions 28 to 507 of the family's 1533-position model. The record is from RNAcentral.
GAUGAACGCUGGCGGCGUGCUUAACACAUGCAAGUCGAACGGAAAGGCUCCUGCUUGCAGGGGUACUCGAGUGGCGAACGGGUGAGUAACACGUAGGUGAUCUGCCCUGCACUUCGGGAUAAGCCUGGGAAACUGGGUCUAAUACCGGAUAGGACCACAUUUUGGAUGGUGUGGUGGAAAGUUUUUCGGUGUGGGAUGAGCUCGCGGCCUAUCAGCUUGUUGGUGGGGUAAUGGCCUACCAAGGCGUCGACGGGUAGCCGGCCUGAGAGGGUGUACGGCCACAUUGGGACUGAGAUACGGCCCAGACUCCUACGGGAGGCAGCAGUGGGGAAUAUUGCACAAUGGGCGCAAGCCUGAUGCAGCGACGCCGCGUGGGGGAUGACGGCCUUCGGGUUGUAAACUCCUUUCGCUAGGGACGAAGCGCAAGUGACGGUACCUGGAGAAGAAGCACCGGCUAACUACGUG